Periophthalmus magnuspinnatus is the source of this 164-nucleotide long non-coding RNA. RefSeq lists it as uncharacterized. NCBI's taxonomy places the organism in Eukaryota, Metazoa, Chordata, Actinopteri, Gobiiformes, Gobiidae. The record is from RefSeq and is a predicted model, not a curated record. The transcript has 3 exons.
CUGUGACUGAAGAAACUCAAACAGACCUGGACAACAAAGUGAUCCAACUGAGGAACCAGACCCAGGAAAUUGAAGAUGAAAUCAAAGCAGUGGAAAAGGUGGAAUCGAUGUACAAAGAAUGGAAAAGUGAAGUUCAAAACCAGAAUGGACUCGUGACAAGUCAA